Molecule: ribosomal RNA, 459 nt
Filed under: uncultured bacterium
Lineage: Bacteria
Description: partial 16S ribosomal RNA
Rfam family: Bacterial small subunit ribosomal RNA
Source: RNAcentral
CCUACGGGUGGCAGCAGUGAGGAAUAUUGGUCAAUGGGCGCGAGCCUGAACCAGCCAAGCCGCGUGAGGGAAGACGGUCCUAAGGAUUGUAAACCUCUUUUGUCGGGGAGCAAAAGACGCCACGCGUGGCGUUCCGAGAGUACCCGAAGAAAAAGCAUCGGCUAACUCCGUGCCAGCAGCCGCGGUAAUACGGAGGAUGCGAGCGUUAUCCGGAUUUAUGGGGGUUAAAGGGUGCGCAGGCGGACGAUCAAGUCAGCGGUAAAAUUGAGAGGCUCAACCUCGUCGAGCCGUUGAAACUGGUUUUCUUGAGUGGGCGAGAAGUAUGUGGAAUGCGUGGUGUAGCGGUGAAAUGCAUAGAUAUCACGCAGAACUCCGAUUGCGAAGGCAGCAUACCGGCGCUCAACUGACGCUCAUGCACGAAAGUGUGGGUAUCGAACAGGAUUAGAUACCCUUGUAGUC